RNAcentral lists this ribosomal RNA (480 nucleotides) under uncultured Glomus. RNAcentral describes it as "SSU rRNA". It matches the Rfam family "Eukaryotic small subunit ribosomal RNA", at positions 569 to 1054 of the family's 1831-position model. Lineage: Eukaryota; Fungi; Glomeromycota; Glomeromycetes; Glomerales; Glomeraceae. The record is from RNAcentral.
AGCAGCCGCGGUAAUUCCAGCUCCAAUAGCGUAUAUUAAAGUUGUUGCAGUUAAAAAGCUCGUAGUUGAAUUUCGGGAUCAAUAUGUUGGUCGUGCCUUGGUACGUACUGGCAUUAUCGAUUCCUACCUUCUGAAGAACCUCGAUGUCAUUAAUUUGGUGUCUUGGGGAAUCAGGACUGUUACUUUGAAAAAUUAGAGUGUUUAAAGCAGGCUCGCGCUUGAAUACAUUAGCAUGGAAUAAUGAAAUAGGACGUUUGAUUCUAUUUUGUUGGUUUCUAGGAUCGACGUAAUGAUUAAUAGGGAUAGUUGGGGGCAUUAGUAUUCAAUUGUCAGAGGUGAAAUUCUUGGAUUUAUUGAAGACUAACUACUGCGAAAGCAUUUGCCAAGGAUGUUUUCAUUAAUCUAAGAACGAAAGUUAGGGGAUCGAAGACGAUCAGAUACCGUCGUAGUCUUAACCAUAAACUAUGCCGACUAGGGAUC